AGGACGAAAAUAAACAAAAGCCCAACCACAUUACAACAACUUGUACUUUCGUACUUUGAUGAAUUGGUACAGUCCUUAAAACGAGUAAUUAAUGCAAGGCUUAACUGUGGAGUUUGUGUUACUUUUUUUAAGCAACAGUGUUAGAUACGUGAGAGUCGCUUAAAACAUUAAAACGAUACAACUAGGACCACUGGAAGUAUCGUGAAAAGUAUCGUUUUAGAGAAUGCCUCUUUGGGUGAACAUUAGACAUUUGGAAGUUAAGCGGAUCAAUUCACGGAAUAGCUGUGACGAUAGCGGACGUAAGUUAGUGUUAUUGUCAAGUAGAAGAUGAGCCCCAGCUCACUUAUUAUUCAUACAGAGAGUCAAGGAUUAUAUUCGCCUCUCCAUAACAACGACUUAAGAUCUUCCCAUUUGUAACAUGACGCAUAUCAAUGUACAAGAAAAAUACCUUCCAGACAGAAAGAAGUGGAAGUGGUUCUUUGAAACAAAGUUAUCUCAACUCACAUAACGAAAUGCAAUGUCCAGUUGUAAUCUUAUCAAGCUAACGUUGUGCAGCAGCCAACUUUGUUACAACUUUACAGUAGAGCUUCCAUUAAACCUUGAUGAUUAGCCUUAUCCUUAAAAACAUUUGUUUCAAACUCACCUUCACAUAGAGUCCCAAUGGGUAUAAUCCAGGUCUUUUCUGAACAUGUUAUGGACUUAUGAAGCCAUACCAUGCACAGUGUGCCUGCAUUGCUGCCAUCUUGUCCUAGACGAAGGGAAGGGAGAGCUGGCUCUCGAUAACACCACCAUCGCCCACAUUUUAAACUUCAAAUAACUCAUACAUAUGAAUGUCCAUUCAAACCACACAUUGCCCAGAUAGUAGCUUCACUCUUCAGUUCAUUUUCAUGCGUCUUAGGGCAAAGUAGCCCAUCUCUGAAAGGGUGUGCGGCACCCCCCAAACGAACGGUUAC
This is a long non-coding RNA of Gadus macrocephalus (Pacific cod), 953 nucleotides long. RefSeq lists it as uncharacterized. The record is from RefSeq and is a predicted model, not a curated record. Lineage: Eukaryota; Metazoa; Chordata; Actinopteri; Gadiformes; Gadidae. The transcript is spliced from 2 exons.